UACGGGGGGGGCAAGCGUUGUUCGGAAUUACUGGGCGUAAAGGGCGCGUAGGCGGCCUUCUAAGUCGAACGUGAAAUCCCCGGGCUCAACCCGGGAACUGCGUCCGAUACUGGAAGGCUUGAAUCCGGGAGAGGGAUGCGGAAUUCCAGGUGUAGCGGUGAAAUGCGUAGAUAUCUGGAGGAACACCGGUGGCGAAGGCGGCAUCCUGGACCGGCAUUGACGCUGAGGCGCGAAAGCUAGGGGAGCAAACGGG
This 253-nucleotide ribosomal RNA is filed under the name uncultured bacterium. RNAcentral describes it as "partial 16S ribosomal RNA". It matches the Rfam family "Bacterial small subunit ribosomal RNA", at positions 524 to 776 of the family's 1533-position model. The record is from RNAcentral.